RNAcentral lists this ribosomal RNA (467 nucleotides) under uncultured bacterium. RNAcentral describes it as "partial 16S ribosomal RNA". It matches the Rfam family "Bacterial small subunit ribosomal RNA", at positions 28 to 506 of the family's 1533-position model. The record is from RNAcentral.
GACGAACGCUGGCGGCGUGCUUAACACAUGCAAGUCGAACGGAAAGGCCCUGCUUUUGUGGGGUGCUCGAGUGGCGAACGGGUGAGUAACACGUGAGUAACCUGCCCUUGACUUUGGGAUAACUUCAGGAAACUGGGGCUAAUACCGGAUAGGAGCUCCUGCUGCAUGGUGGGGGUUGGAAAGUUUCGGCGGUUGGGGAUGGACUCGCGGCUUAUCAGCUUGUUGGUGGGGUAGUGGCUUACCAAGGCUUUGACGGGUAGCCGGCCUGAGAGGGUGACCGGCCACAUUGGGACUGAGAUACGGCCCGGACUCAUACGGGAGGCAGCAGUGGGGAAUAUUGCACAAUGGGCGGAAGCCUGAUGCAGCAACGCCGCGUGCGGGAUGACGGCCUUCGGGUUGUAAACCGCUUUCGCCUGUGACGAAGCGUGAGUGACGGUAAUGGGUAAAGAAGCACCGGCUAACUACGU